UAGGGAAUCUUCCACAAUGGACGCAAGUCUGAUGGAGCAACGCCGCGUGAGUGAAGAAGGUCUUCGGAUCGUAAAGCUCUGUUGUUGGUGAAGAAGGAUAGAGGCAGUAACUGGUCUUUAUUUGACGGUAAUCAACCAGAAAGUCACGGCUAACUACGUGCCAGCAGCCGCGGUAAUACGUAGGUGGCAAGCGUUGUCCGGAUUUAUUGGGCGUAAAGCGAGCGCAGGCGGAAUGAUAAGUCUGAUGUGAAAGCCCACGGCUCAACCGUGGAACUGCAUCGGAAACUGUCAUUCUUGAGUGCAGAAGAGGAGAGUGGAACUCCAUGUGUAGCGGUGGAAUGCGUAGAUAUAUGGAAGAACACCAGUGGCGAAGGCGGCUCUCUGGUCUGCAACUGACGCUGAGGCUCGAAAGCAUGGGUAGCGAACAGGAUUAGAUACCCUGGUAGUCCAUGCCGUAAACGAUGAGCGCUAGGUGUUGGGGACUUUCCGGUCCUCAGUGCCGCAGCAAACGCAUUAAGCGCUCCGCCUGGGGA
Molecule: ribosomal RNA, 533 nt
Filed under: uncultured bacterium
Lineage: Bacteria
Description: partial 16S ribosomal RNA
Rfam family: Bacterial small subunit ribosomal RNA
Source: RNAcentral